UCUUGACAACUCUAGAGAGAGCAGCCAUGAUGGCCACUUGGCAAAUACAACUACUGUUAACGGAUCUAUUUUGAAACCUGUAAUUUUAGCUUUGACAUACACUUAUGCCAUGCAUAUGUUCUCUUUGCAUUUGGGGUAGGGUGCUAUGUAGAUACCAAGGUUGCUUGUUCCAUGUACCCAGCAUAUUCUGUAUGAUUCUUGUCUUGCUCAUCUCCUCAGUGAACCCUUGUAUCCAUGCUGUUGCAACAUGUCUGUACUUACACUUCUCUGCUCUGAGGAAAGGACAGGAUGGAGCACUGUUUUUACCUGACUCACUUUGCUUCACCAGCUGACAAAGUUGCUGACUUGAAACAUUUUGUUAGGCAAGUCAUUAGAGAAGCUCCAGUGAGAGACUGAAAAGCAGUCAUCAGAGUAUGGAGUUAAUUUCCACCCAGCCAUAUGCCUGGUGACACCAAAUAAGUAGUAAUUCAUCCUUGUUAAUCUAGGAACUUUAUUAAAUAAUGUUCCUUAAAAGACCCAUUGACUAAGAGAAAAUUGAUUUGUACUUUGGGGUUUAAAAAUUACUUUUAGCUUUUACAGCUGAUAUGUCAUAUCUUUGGACUUUUAAACUAAAAGAUACUCCAAAUAUGCUUUGUAAAUGUUAGGCAUCUAGUAUAUUUCAUUUAAAUGCCUCAGUUAGUGAAUGCAUUAAUGAGUCUUAGACCCUAUGCUGAAAGCUGGGAAUGAGGAGAGAGACAAAAUGAAUGAUACUCAAACUCUAGUCAGGCUGACUGAAGUAAGUAUUGUGUUAAGGAACAAGGUUCACCCUUGAAGGGACACAAGUAGGUGGAAUUGAUUGAAAAUGAAGGGGGGGUGCUUCCCUGGUGGCGCAAGGGGUUAAGGCGCAGGGAGCCACUGUGGCACAAGUUUGGUCCCCAGCCAGGGAGGUGGCCCACAUGGCACGGAUGACCUCUCCUGUCUCGCCUGCUGCUCCAGUGUGUUUCAGUAGAUCUGCCUGUUCUGCUCCCCACUCUGGUGAAUCCUCUCACCCCCUGCACCUCUGGCCUGUACCCCAGUUCUUGUAUGCAUAAAUAAAUCUUUAAAAGAAAAUGAGGGUUUCACAGUGGAUACGUAUUUGGAAACGAUAUAGGAAGGGUAUUUCCAGGUUCAGGGAAAGGCCCAGAGGCUUAAAAAUGCAUGCAUAGACAAGGUAUGAGAGAUGGGUGUGGGUAUAUGAAGAGAGAAUAUAGUGGGCAAUAAGACUGAAAAGGUGAAAACCAUAACUGAAGCAUUUUGGAGGAGUUAUGUUCAUUUUAAAAGCGGUAGGAGCUUGUCAGGGGAAUAAUACAACCAUACCUUUGUAUAGGCGGUUAAGAGUAAGUCUGGUUAGCCUAGAGUUAUAGAGAUUGGUGUCUGGAGAGUCAAAGAUAAUCAUUUGAGAGAUUUGAGUCCUUUUUGUACAGUGGGAUGGAAAAAGUGCCCUUUUGUUUUAAUUCAAGGUGGUAGCAGGACAUUCCUUGCUUUACUUCCAAGAGAACAAUUAUCCAGAAGUGGGACAUUAGUGAGAAUUCCACAGCAAAUUGGUGAGGCUGAAGCAUCUCCUGCACCACAGAGAACAACACAGACUGCAUUAGGAGGAAAGUUGAGACUGACAUAGCAGUGUGAUAGAAGAUGAUGUAAGUUGGCAAUUAGCUGUGUAUGCUUCUGACAGUUACUCUAUGAGGGCAUCCUGUGCGCCUAUCUUCUACUGAUAUUUCGCUCUAGAAUCUCUUGGAUGGAAGAACAUCUUACUCCUAGUUAACAGUGCCUGGGAAGUAGGCAUUCAGCCAAGGAAUGUGGAUAUACGGACUCCAUUCUGAAGCCCUGUUCAGAAUGAAAUCGUUCUGAAGUGUGAAAUGAAUGAGAUUCAUGCCUGCUCCAUCAUUCAACACUCAGGUA
Molecule: long non-coding RNA, 1917 nt
Organism: Talpa occidentalis (Iberian mole)
Lineage: Eukaryota; Metazoa; Chordata; Mammalia; Eulipotyphla; Talpidae
Exons: 3
Source: RefSeq, a predicted model, not a curated record